This 990-nucleotide long non-coding RNA is filed under the name Musa acuminata (dwarf banana). RNAcentral describes it as "long non-coding RNA (MACU_LNC006048)". The record is from RNAcentral. Lineage: Eukaryota; Viridiplantae; Streptophyta; Magnoliopsida; Zingiberales; Musaceae.
AGAAGAAGCUCACUGCCGUGCCGCUCCCUCUGCUAGAAAAGCUCGAAUCCUAUGAGGUGGCUCCCAAAUCCUGGUCCGAGGUGAGCAAAGUUCUUGAAGACCUCAAACCCACGCUCAACUCCGAGCCUCCUCCUGCUGCAGCCAAGCCCCACCAUGCUCCUCCUCCGCCAGAUCCCAAGAAGCCGCCAUCAGCACCAUCAAAGAACAACUCCUUCCACACACUCGAAGAGCUCGAGAGCCACACGAAGAAGCCUUCGCCGCGGCCGUCCUCUCCUCCACGAGCGAGCUCGCCCGCCCGCCCGCAGCCGCCCGAGAUGGCUGGCUUCCGCUCCGUGAAAGAGAACAGCUUCAUCGUCCGCGACAGAGAGGAGAGGCAGAGGCAGAAGGCCGGCGGGGACGUGGCUGCCAAAUUGCCGUGGUGGCGCCGCGACCCGCUCGAUGGGUACCCCGAGCGCUGCCCCCCGGGAAACGCCGACGGCGUCGUGCUCUACACCACGACGCUGAGAGGUGUCCGUCGGACGUUCGAGGACUGUGAGCAGGCGCGACGGGUACUCGAGGGCCAGGCGCUGGACUUCGGCGUGGCGGUCGACGAACGAGACGUGUCGCUCCACGGGGAGUUCUUGAGGGAGGUCAGGGAGCUGGUGGGCGAGGAGCUGGCGGUGCCGCGGCUCUUCAUAAGGGGCAGGUACGUGGGCGGGGUGGACGAGGUGGUGGAGCUCAGCGAGACGGGGAAACUGAGGGAGAUGCUGCGGUGGGUGGCACGGAGGGUAGGAGACGGGUCGGGGAAGGGAGGGAAGAAAGACUGCGAGUGCUGCGGCGGGGCAAGGUUCAUUCCAUGUAUGGAGUGCAACGGGAGCUGCAAGGUGGUGGGGGAGGACGGGAAGAGCGUGGAGAGGUGUGAAGAGUGCAACGAGAACGGGCUGAUGCUUUGCCCUCUCUGCCAUUAGAAGACGUCAAAGGUCGGAUGGAGAAUUGCAGCACGCAGUUUGC